GUAGGUGGCAAGCGUUGUCCGGAAUUAUUGGGCGUAAAGCGCGCGCAGGCGGUUCUUUAAGUCUGAUGUGAAAGCCCACGGCUCAACCGUGGAGGGUCAUUGGAAACUGGAGAACUUGAGUACAGAAGAGGAAAGCGGAAUUCCACGUGUAGCGGUGAAAUGCGUAGAGAUGUGGAGGAACACCAGUGGCGAAGGCGGCUUUCUGGUCUGUAACUGACGCUGAGGGCGCGAAAGCGUGGGGAGCAAACAGGAUUAGAUACCCUGGUAGUCCCACGCCCGUAAACGAUGAGUGCUAAGUGUUACGGGGGUUUUCCGCCCCUUAGUGCUGCAGCUAACGCAUUAAGCACUCCGCCUGGGAGUACGGCGCAAGGCUG
RNAcentral lists this ribosomal RNA (374 nucleotides) under uncultured organism. Its description in RNAcentral is "partial 16S ribosomal RNA". It matches the Rfam family "Bacterial small subunit ribosomal RNA", at positions 527 to 896 of the family's 1533-position model. The record is from RNAcentral.